AUUCAACCCUUUACCAAAAUCUCUCUCUCUUCACAAACCCUUACCAUCCCAACCUCCUUGACCACGACUCCUUCAGACCUUUCUCGACUUCUCCGACUCGCCGCCCUUCACCAUCGAUCUCUCCUUCGAGUGGAUCCUUGACUCCCGUGACUCCGACGCCGAUCAGAUCAAGCUCAUUGAUUGCGCCCUGCAGUUAGGAUUGGUGCUCCUCGAGGCUGGUAAGAGCUAGGCGAGACGAAGAGCCUCCAAGAACAACUCCAUCUCCUGGGCUCUCCCUCUCAACCACACCAUCAAGAUCUUUUCCAUGCCCCAUACUCAAAGCAUAUGCUAUCCUGCAGCUACUUAUUCAAUGUUUAAUAAAUGAGCCAUGGAUCUUCUUGCCAUGCGAAUAUUGACUUGACAACGGUUGUCCUAAAAGUUAACAAUGGAGUAGUUUCCACAAUGAUACACGGACAGGGAAAGCUCUUGAGUUGUGGCUCAAAAAGUGAAGGAGGCAGAAAUUACCGAGCAAGACUCGCUUCUGGUUCCACUUUCCUCUUCUAGUUGACCUCUCCUCCUCCUCCGGCAACGAUGACCUCAGGAACUGGAAUACCGACUUCGUCAAGGUUGACCAGGCCACCCUUUUUUAUCUCAUCCUAGUUUGUAUUACUACUUUAAUCCUAUUACUGCUAGUUUCUCGUUUAUCGCUGCCGUUGAUACUUUUUAAUUCGCUUAGGGUCUCAUGUAAUUUUAUAAGAAUUUUGUUGUUUGAGCAUGAAAAAUUGAUUAGGAUUGAUUUUCUUUGAUUUUAGGACAUUUGGUUCUCGAUGAAUAGUUGAAUAAAUUUCUUGAUAAUAGUUCAUAUGCAUUGCAUGAUUAGUGAUUUCAAUAUAUAUAUAUACACACCGCUGCAAAUUUUAUAGGAA
Rosa chinensis is the source of this 905-nucleotide long non-coding RNA. RefSeq lists it as uncharacterized. Lineage: Eukaryota; Viridiplantae; Streptophyta; Magnoliopsida; Rosales; Rosaceae. The transcript is spliced from 3 exons. The record is from RefSeq and is a predicted model, not a curated record.